Molecule: transfer RNA, 65 nt
Filed under: Curculionidae sp. 3 AH-2016
Lineage: Eukaryota; Metazoa; Arthropoda; Insecta; Coleoptera; Curculionidae
Description: tRNA-Phe
Source: RNAcentral
AUUUAAAUAGCUUAGGUUAGAGCAUAGUAUUGAAGAUACUAAGGGAAUAAAAAUAUUUUUAAAUA